RNAcentral lists this ribosomal RNA (254 nucleotides) under uncultured bacterium. RNAcentral's name for it is "partial 16S ribosomal RNA". It matches the Rfam family "Bacterial small subunit ribosomal RNA", at positions 524 to 776 of the family's 1533-position model. The record is from RNAcentral.
UACGUAGGGGGCAAGCGUUGUCCGGAAUCAUUGGGCGUAAAGAGCGCGUAGGCGGCCCUGUAAGUCCGCUGUGAAAGUCAAGGGCUCAACCCUUGGAUGCCGGUGGAUACUGCAGGGCUAGAGUCCGGAAGAGGCGAGUGGAAUUCCUGGUGUAGCGGUGAAAUGCGCAGAUAUCAGGAGGAACACCGAUGGCGAAGGCAGCUCGCUGGGACGGUGACUGACGCUGAGGCGCGAAAGCGUGGGGAGCAAACAGG